Molecule: ribosomal RNA, 499 nt
Filed under: Botryosphaeria dothidea
Lineage: Eukaryota; Fungi; Ascomycota; Dothideomycetes; Botryosphaeriales; Botryosphaeriaceae
Description: eukaryotic LSU rRNA
Rfam family: 5.8S ribosomal RNA (bases 173-326)
Source: RNAcentral
GAUUCGGGCUCCGGCCCGAUCCUCCCACCCUUUGUGUACCUACCUCUGUUGCUUUGGCGGGCCGCGGUUCUCCGCGGCCGCCCCCCUCCCCGGGGGGUGGCCAGCGCCCGCCAGAGGACCAUCAAACUCCAGUCAGUAAACGAUGCAGUCUGAAAAACAUUUAAUAAACUAAAACUUUCAACAACGGAUCUCUUGGUUCUGGCAUCGAUGAAGAACGCAGCGAAAUGCGAUAAGUAAUGUGAAUUGCAGAAUUCAGUGAAUCAUCGAAUCUUUGAACGCACAUUGCGCCCUUUGGUAUUCCGAAGGGCAUGCCUGUUCGAGCGUCAUUACAACCCUCAAGCUCUGCUUGGUAUUGGGCACCGUCCUUUGCGGGCGCGCCUCAAAGACCUCGGCGGUGGCGUCUUGCCUCAAGCGUAGUAGAACAUACAUCUCGCUUCGGAGCGCAGGGCGUCGCCCGCCGGACGAACCUUCUGAACUUUUCUCAAGGUUGACCUCGGAU